GACGAACGCUGGCGGCGUGCUUAACACAUGCAAGUCGAACGGAAAGGCCCUGCUUUUGUUGGUUUCUCGAUUGGCGAACGGGUGAGUAACACGUGAGUAACCUGCCCUUGACUUUGUGAUAACUUCAGGAAACUGGGGCUAAUACCCGAUAGGAUCUCCUGCUGCAUGUUGGGGGUUGGAAAGUGUCGGCUGUUGGGUAUGUACUCGCGGCUUAUCAGCUUGUUGGGAUGGUAGUGGCUUACCAAGGCUUUGACGGGUAGCCGGCCUGAGAGGGUGACCGGCCACACGGGAACGGAGAAACGGUCCAGAGUCAUAAGGGAGGCAGCAGGAGGGAAUCUUCCGCAAUGGGCGGAAGCCGGACGGAGCAACGCCGCGUGAGUAAUGAAGGUCUUCGGAGCGUAAAACUCGGUUAUUAGGGAAGAAAAAAUGUGUAAGUAACUAUGCACGUCUUGACGGUACCUAAUCAGAAAGCCACGGCUAACUACGUG
RNAcentral lists this ribosomal RNA (488 nucleotides) under uncultured bacterium. Its description in RNAcentral is "partial 16S ribosomal RNA". It matches the Rfam family "Bacterial small subunit ribosomal RNA", at positions 28 to 507 of the family's 1533-position model. The record is from RNAcentral.